This 471-nucleotide ribosomal RNA is filed under the name uncultured bacterium. RNAcentral describes it as "bacterial SSU rRNA". It matches the Rfam family "Bacterial small subunit ribosomal RNA", at positions 29 to 506 of the family's 1533-position model. The record is from RNAcentral.
AUGAACGCUAGCGGCAGGCCUAAUACAUGCAAGUCGAACGGGCGAUAGCAAUAUCGCUAGUGGCGCACGGGUGCGUAACGCGUAACCAACCUGCCCUUGACUGGGGGAUAGCCCGCCGAAAGGCGGAUUAAUACCGCAUAACCCCACAACACGGCAUCGUGUACUGGGUAAAGAUUUAUUGGUCAAGGAUGGGGUUGCGUAGCAUUAGCUAGAUGGCGGGGUAACGGCCCACCAUGGCGACGAUGCUUAGGGGACCUGAGAGGGUGAUCCCCCACACUGGCACUGAGAUACGGGCCAGACUCCUACGGGAGGCAGCAGUAGGGAAUAUUGGGCAAUGGGCGAGAGCCUGACCCAGCCAUGCCGCGUGCCGGAUGAAGGCCUUCUGGGUUGUAAACGGCUUUUCUCAGGGAAGAAAAAGAGGAUGCGUCCUAAACUGACGGUACCUGAGGAAUAAGCACCGGCUAACUCCGU